Non-coding RNA from Neolamprologus brichardi, 232 nucleotides. The record is from RefSeq and is a predicted model, not a curated record. Lineage: Eukaryota; Metazoa; Chordata; Actinopteri; Cichliformes; Cichlidae.
GUCUCAGAUCAACACGGCCCUGCCUUCCAGCACUAUCAACAGCAGGAGCAGCAGCAGCAACCCCUCAACAGCAGCAUUGUACCCAUCAGGUACCUACCUUCCUGCCAGACGGAGAAAAGAUCUGUAAACUGGCUUCUUCAUCUCCCAGCAAGUGUUUGAUAACAACCUGCAGUAUCCGACUGUCGAAUUACGCAUUUCUCAAAUUCAGCUGGAACGAUGGCGAGCGGAAAUG